UCUGAACAGGCUUUGGAGAUGGACCGAAGACGGACACAUCCCAGUAUGUCUACUAUCAGGAAAGUUGUGAUUAUUCUGUUAUUAACUACUUCUGCCGAUGUUGCAUGUUGUCUGGAGAUGUAGACAAAGAAAUGAGAUUCUCUUCACGUUACGGGAAUAACAGGACACACCGACAGCGGGAGGAGGGUCCUGCUGCAGCCCAGCCAAACCUGCACUCCACUGUCCGGAACAGCUGUUCAACCUUGUCAGCCCGUGAGUGUAAUACCUCCUCCACUGUGUGAAAGAAAAAAAGAAAAACAAAGUUUUCCACACUGUUACGGAUUGAGCUAGUUGUUCGUGUGCUGAAUUACGAUUUCCCAAACACAUCCAGACACCUGCACCAAACAUACCCAUGUUUUCCAUUUUUCUUACCUUGUUUUUCCUCUCUGCUCGGCACUCAGCUUCAACGCUUCUCUGUCUGAAAGUUAGUUCGCCUCUUGCCUGCUGGAGGAACUCUUCGCGGGGUCCCCCAGCUGUGUCCUGCUUUUUGUGCUGAAAACACCUUGCUGGUUUUUCAGCUUCUUCUCAGCAGCUUUUUGCUUUAAACUCCACAAGGAAAACUUUCAAGAUYGAGUCACGCCGAGUUCAGCCUGCAGCAACUGCAUGCCAUAGACCACACUCAGACUUCCGUGAGCAAAGCUGUGACGACCAGCACCUUCAAGGCCUGUCUUGGCUGCCCAUCAACACGCUGAGACCCAGAGCUAACUUCUAACCAAAGCCUUGGGUGCUGAUUCCCCUCGUCCUCCGAUCUCUGCCACGGUAAGAGGCCGUCAGCCCUUAACCUACAUCUGGCAUCUGGCAAACCUCCGGCUCACACGGGCUCACUGGUUAAGAAAACAUAAUUCAUUAUAACUCUGUUCUUUCUUUCUUUCUCUCUCUUUCUCUAAGCCACAGCUUCACUCACACACCCACAUGGUUCAAAGUGUUUUUAAAUUUCAAGGUAUUAUUGUUAGUAAUAAUUAUCAAAACCUUAGAACUUUUUUGGUUUAGUCUAUCACGACAAGAGCUUUCAGUUAACCAAAUAAUCACUCAGUUGUAAUCAUUUUCUUCAAUUUUAUUUUAAAUAAAAACCUGGUUAUGUUGUAACAGGCAGAAAAUAAAACAAUGACUCUUUUGUAAGUUUUCUGUGAGUAUUUUGAUGACUGAAUUUUUUUGA
Long non-coding RNA from Austrofundulus limnaeus, 1195 nucleotides. RefSeq lists it as uncharacterized. Lineage: Eukaryota; Metazoa; Chordata; Actinopteri; Cyprinodontiformes; Rivulidae. The transcript has 3 exons. The record is from RefSeq and is a predicted model, not a curated record.